AAUAGAUACCCUGGUAGUCCACGCCGUAAACAAUGAGUGCUAAGUGUUAGAGGGUUUCCGCCCUUUAGUGCUGCAGCUAACGCAUUAAGCACUCCGCCUGGGGAGUACGGUCGCAAGACUGAAACUCAAAGGAAUUGACGGGGGCCCGCACAAGCGGUGGAGCAUGUGGUUUAAUUCGAAGCAACGCGAAGAACCUUACCAGGUCUUGACAUCCUCUGACAACUCUAGAGAUAGAGCAUUCCCCUUCGGGGGACAGAGUGACAGGUGGUGCAUGGUUGUCGUCAGCUCGUGUCGUGAGAUGUUGGGUUAAGUCCCGCAACGAGCGCAACCCUUGAUCUUAGUUGCCAGCAUUCAGUUGGGCACUCUAAGGUGACUGCCGGUGACAAACCGGAGGAAGGUGGGGAUGACGUCAAAUCGUCAUGCCCCUUAUGACCUGGGCUACACACGUGCUACAAUGGAUGGUACAAAGGGCUGCAAGACCGCGAGGUCAAGCCAAUCCCAUAAAACCAUUCUCAGUUCGGAUUGU
RNAcentral lists this ribosomal RNA (526 nucleotides) under uncultured bacterium. RNAcentral describes it as "bacterial SSU rRNA". It matches the Rfam family "Bacterial small subunit ribosomal RNA", at positions 777 to 1301 of the family's 1533-position model. The record is from RNAcentral.